Aedes aegypti (yellow fever mosquito) is the source of this 1114-nucleotide long non-coding RNA. RefSeq lists it as uncharacterized. NCBI's taxonomy places the organism in Eukaryota, Metazoa, Arthropoda, Insecta, Diptera, Culicidae. The record is from RefSeq and is a predicted model, not a curated record. The transcript has 3 exons.
UUGUUGCCGAUUUUGUUGCUUGCUGUCACAGCCCAUACGUGUGAUGUAAAUAUUGCAAUGAAAAUUGAUUUUUAGUGGACAAUUAGUAGAAAGUUUACAAUAAUUUUGUGCGCUAAACAAAGGAAAACUGUUGUUUCACAUAAUGAAGCAUCAACACCGAAUAACAUGUGUCGUUCCGGAAUGCAAAUCGUGGAGUUCCGGUUCAGCCGCAGUUUCUUUCUUCCCAGUUCCCCCAAGGCAGAGCAUAACAUUUGCCAAGUGGUCUAAGGUAAUCAAACUCUCCGGAAGGCGUGAGGAAAGGAUUUGCGAAGUGCAUUUCAGGAACAGUGAUUUCAUACGAUAUUCACGUCGAAAACUGAAACCUCGAGCAAUUCCUUCUGCUGAAAUACCGAAAUGUGCUACACGGAUCAAAUCAAAAAUUGGCUGCUGCGUAUCGGGAUGUAGUACUAAGACCCGCAAAAGACUUAUACGAUUCCCAACAUCGAAAAACCCAAAUCUUUUGAGAACAUGGAAAAAGGUAUUCCUGAUACAUGAUGAAGAUGAUACCAAUUACAGAAUUUGCGGAAAGCAUUUCAAUAAUUGUGAUUAUGUGACAGGUAAGUUUCCAUUUGCUUGUCUCACUGCAUUUAUUACAUAUGUACGUUUAUUUUUAGUGCACUCAUUGUAUCUACGGCCGAGCGCUGUCCCAUCGAUUAAAGUACAACGUCAUGUCAGCAAUCCACGUAAAAAUAACCAAAACACCAAAAAAGUUUUCAUGCAUGAUCAUACGUAUUGUCGCAGCACACGCAGAUCGGGAAGAUACCGUAUGUGCACCGUCAGUACCUGUAAAUCACGUGCCAAUGCUACGAUAACGCUGCAUAGCAUUCCAAGGAACGAUCGUUACAUCGAAUGGAAAAAAGCUCUACGAUUAAAUACCAUCUCGAAAAGUUCAAAAGUAUGCAGUGAACAUUUCACGAAGGCCGAUUACAUUCCAGGUACAUGACAAAUCAAUCUUCAUUGUUUAAAUUUACAACACUGGGAUACAUAGGGAUGGCACACAAAUUAUGUCACGCUAAAUUAAAACUUUUUUGAUUCCCCCUCCCAUCUUCACUUUUUUUGUAUGAGUCCUCCGGAA